Molecule: long non-coding RNA, 819 nt
Filed under: Homo sapiens (human)
Lineage: Eukaryota; Metazoa; Chordata; Mammalia; Primates; Hominidae
Description: HSALNT0081515
Source: RNAcentral
AUGUUGACAUUUGUUUCAGAGAUUAUAAGAAGAGAAAUGGAAAACAGCAUCUGAACCAGGAAAGGAACCUCAAAACAGCUGCUGGCCACUGAGCAGCUGUUGAACAAGGAUCUGACUAUUGUUCAUCUCUCCCCACCCCCCAGCAGAUGCCACUACCUUAAAUAGCAAGUAAUAUGGACUCUGCAGUGGGUAUGACAAACAUCCUCAUAGUGGAGCAAGACACAUCACCACUAACGGGCAUGCAUCUCCAAGAAAAGAAGCAAAAUAGUUCCAGGAUCCCUGACAUGCAUGCACUUCAGUGUGGAUCUUUUACCAUCUUUAUGGCAAGGCUGACAGCUAUCUUUGGAAACAGCGAGCAAUGAGGCUUCUUAAAAAAAGAGCCCGAGGCCGGGCACGGUGACUCACGCCUGUAAUCCCAGCACUUUGGGAGGCCGAGGUGGGCAGAUCACCUGAGGUCAAGAGAUGGAGACCAGCCUGGCCAACAUGAAGAAACCACGUCUCUACUAAAAACACAAAAAUUAGUAGGGCGUGGUGGAGCGCACGUGAAAUUCCAGCUACUCAGAGGCUGAGGCAGGAGAAUUGCUUGAACCCGGAAGGCGGAGGUUACAGUGAGCCAAGAUAGCGCCACUGCACUCCAGCCUGGCAACAGAGCAAAGCUCUAUCUCAAAAAACAAAAAAAAAGAAAGAAAGAAAGAGCCUGAGUCUGUGUUCUGAACUCCUAUAUCCCUCACACUGAUAUUUUCUGGUCCAGAGAAGGUGCUUAAUAAAUGGUUCUUAAAUAGGUGUAAGAUUAUUAAUAACAAAAUAUGUAAUAUUGGU